This 279-nucleotide ribosomal RNA is filed under the name uncultured bacterium. Its description in RNAcentral is "partial 16S ribosomal RNA". It matches the Rfam family "Bacterial small subunit ribosomal RNA", at positions 29 to 332 of the family's 1533-position model. The record is from RNAcentral.
AGCGGACGCUGGCGGCAGGCCUAACACAUGCAAGUCGAGCGGCCGUAGCAAUACGGCAGCGGCAGACGGGAUAGUAACACGUGGGAACGCGCCCUUCGGUUCGGAAUAACUCAGGGAAACUUGAGCUAAUACCGGAUACGCCCUUACGGGGAAAGGAUUUAUUGCCGAAGGAACGGCCCGCGUCGGAUUAGCUAGUUGGUGAGGUAAUGGCUCACCAAGGCGACGAUCCGUAGCUGGUCUGAGAGGAUGACCAGCAUCACUGGGACUGAGACACGGCCC